GGCGAACGGGUGAGUAAAGCAUCGGAACGUGCCCUGGAGUGGGGGAUAACGUAGCGAAAGUUACGCUAAUACCGCAUAUUCUGUGAGCAGGAAAGCAGGGGAUCGCAAGACCUUGCGCUCUGGGAGCGGCCGAUGUCGGAUUAGCUAGUUGGUGGGGUAAAGGCCUACCAAGGCGACGAUCCGUAGCGGGUCUGAGAGGAUGAUCCGCCACACUGGGACUGAGACACGGCCCAGACUCCUACGGGAGGCAGCAGUGGGGAAUUUUGGACAAUGGGCGCAAGCCUGAUCCAGCCAUGCCGCGUGAGUGAAGAAGGCCUUCGGGUUGUAAAGCUCUUUCGGUGGGGAAGAAAUUGCAUGGGUUAAUACCCUGUGUAGAUGACGGUACCUAAAGAAGAAGCACCGGCUAACUACGUGCCAGCAGCCGCGGUAAUACGUAGGGUGCGAGCGUUAAUCGGAAUUACUGGGCGUAAAGCGUGCGCAGGCGGUUUGGUAAGUCAGAUGUGAAAUCCCCGGGCUCAACCUGGGAACUGCAUUUGAGACUGCCAAGCUGGAGUUUGGCAGAGGGGGGUGGAAUUCCACGUGUAGCAGUGAAAUGCGUAGAGAUGUGGAGGAACACCGAUGGCGAAGGCAGCCCCCUGGGCCAAUACUGACGCUCAUGCACGAAAGCUGGGGAGCAAACAGGAUUAGAUACCCUGGUAGUCCACGCCCUAAACGAUGUCAACUAGGUGUUGGGAGGGUUAAACCUUUUAGUGCCGUAGCUAACGCGUGAAGUUGACCGCCUGGGGAGUACGGCCGCAAGGCUAAAACUCAAAGGAAUUGACGGGGACCCGCACAAGCGGUGGAUGAUGUGGAUUAAUUCGAUGCAACGCGAAAAACCUUACCUACCCUUGACAUGUCAGGAAUCCUGGAGAGAUCUGGGAGUGCUCGAAAGAGAGCCUGAACACAGGUGCUGCAUGGCUGUCGUCAGCUCGUGUCGUGAGAUGUUGGGUUAAGUCCCGCAACGAGCGCAACCCUUGUCAUUAAUUGCCAUCAUUCAGUUGGGCACUUUAAUGAGACUGCCGGUGACAAACCGGAGGAAGGUGGGGAUGACGUCAAGUCCUCAUGGCCCUUAUGGGUAGGACUUCACACGUCAUACAAUGGUCGGUUCAGAGGGUUGCCAACCCGCGAGGGGGAGCCAAUCUCAGAAAGCCGAUCGUAGUCCGGAUCGCAGUCUGCAACUCGACUGCGUGAAGUCGGAAUCGCUAGUAAUCGCGGAUCAGCAUGUCGCGGUGAAUACGUUCCCGGGUCUUGUACACACCGCCCGUCACACCAUGGGAGCGGGUUCUGCCAGAAGUAGUUAGCCUAACCGCAU
This 1351-nucleotide ribosomal RNA is filed under the name metagenome. Its description in RNAcentral is "bacterial SSU rRNA". It matches the Rfam family "Bacterial small subunit ribosomal RNA", at positions 97 to 1444 of the family's 1533-position model. The record is from RNAcentral.